UACGGAGGGUGCAAGCGUUAAUCGGAAUUACUGGGCGUAAAGCGCGCGUAGGCGGUUUGUUAAGUCAGAUGUGAAAUCCCCGGGCUCAACCUGGGAAUGGCAUUUGAGACUGGCAGGCUAGAGUAUGGUAGAGGUGAGUGGAAUUUCAGGUGUAGCGGUGAAAUGCGUAGAGAUCUGAAGGAACAUCAGUGGCGAAGGCGACUCACUGGGCCAUUACUGACGCUGAGGUGCGAAAGCGUGGGUAGCAAAC
This 250-nucleotide ribosomal RNA is filed under the name uncultured bacterium. RNAcentral describes it as "partial 16S ribosomal RNA". It matches the Rfam family "Bacterial small subunit ribosomal RNA", at positions 524 to 773 of the family's 1533-position model. The record is from RNAcentral.